GCCAGGCAUGGUGGCGCGCGUCUGUAAUCCCAGCUACACAGGAGGCUGAGGCAGGAGAAUUGCUUGUACCCAGGAGGCAGAGGUUGCAGUGAGCCGAGAUUAUGCCACUGCACUCCAGCCUGGGUGACAGAGUGAGACUCUGUCUCAA
This 148-nucleotide small RNA is filed under the name Papio anubis (olive baboon). Its description in RNAcentral is "Metazoan signal recognition particle RNA (ENSPANG00000038807.1)". Lineage: Eukaryota; Metazoa; Chordata; Mammalia; Primates; Cercopithecidae. The record is from Rfam by way of RNAcentral.